Salvia splendens (bonfire salvia) is the source of this 644-nucleotide long non-coding RNA. RefSeq lists it as uncharacterized. The transcript is spliced from 4 exons. NCBI's taxonomy places the organism in Eukaryota, Viridiplantae, Streptophyta, Magnoliopsida, Lamiales, Lamiaceae. The record is from RefSeq and is a predicted model, not a curated record.
UAAAAUUGAAAGAUGGGGAAGCAUUAUGUGUCCUUCGAGAUAUAUUUCAUGGGCGAACUGCAAAGCAAGGAAGAUCAUGUCCGGUUGUCCUGUUUCAUGUACACCUGCUAUCAAUAAUUAAAGAGGAAGAGGGAGAGAAGGUUGUGAAGUCGAAUCCGAGCUCGUGGUUCAGUGAAAUGCUUUGCUGAAUCUGAACGUGUUCUUAAAAUGCCGGGGAUGCAUUAUUUAGAGAAGGCUGCCGACUAUGAUGCUUUAAAUGCUUCAGAAAUGCUUAGGGUCUUAAAUCUGAUAUGCACGAACUAAGAAAUUUGAUAGAACAUCAAAAAACACAAUUUGACCAGAAAGCAAAGGAAGCUAAACUUAAGGUUUUUGAAGCAAGAGGCGAGAUAAAGAUAAUAAAAGAGGACACUGCCAAAGCUAUUGAUGCAAGGGAUGGGGAGCAGGAAGCAAUUGUUUCUCUUAAUAGAUCUGCUGCAAAGCUAGCUCAUGGAAAGCUGCUUGAGUCAGAGGCAAUGCUUUUGAAGCGGAAGUUCUGUAUUAUUUAUUGUUAAAGUGUGUGUGUGUGUGAAGAGAUUCAAAUGAGAAUCUCUAUUUAAAUUGAGAACAUGAGAAUUCCUUUUUAAACAUGGCUCUUGGUUUCUCCA